GAUGAACGCUAGCGGGAGGCCUAACACAUGCAAGCCGAGCGGUAGAGUUUCUUCGGAAACUUGAGAGCGGCGCACGGGUGCGUAACACGUGUGCAACCUACCUUUAUCUGGGGGAUAGCCUUUCGAAAGGAAGAUUAAUACCCCAUAAUAUAAUGAUUGGCAUCAAUUAUUAUUGAAAACUCCGGUGGAUAGAGAUGGGCACGCGCAAGAUUAGAUAGUUGGUGAGGUAACGGCUCACCAAGUCAAUGAUCUUUAGGGGUCCUGAGAGGGAGAUCCCCCACACUGGUACUGAGACACGGACCAGACUCCUACGGGAGGCAGCAGUGAGGAAUAUUGAACAAUGGGUGAGAGCCUGAUCCAGCCAUCCCGCGUGAAGGAUGACGGCCCUAUGGAUUGUAAACUUCUUUUGUACAGGGAUAAACCUACCCUCGUGAGGGUAGCUGAAGGUACUGUACGAAUAAGCACCGGCUAACUCCGUG
RNAcentral lists this ribosomal RNA (479 nucleotides) under uncultured bacterium. Its description in RNAcentral is "partial 16S ribosomal RNA". It matches the Rfam family "Bacterial small subunit ribosomal RNA", at positions 28 to 507 of the family's 1533-position model. The record is from RNAcentral.